RNAcentral lists this ribosomal RNA (465 nucleotides) under uncultured bacterium. RNAcentral describes it as "partial 16S ribosomal RNA". It matches the Rfam family "Bacterial small subunit ribosomal RNA", at positions 28 to 507 of the family's 1533-position model. The record is from RNAcentral.
GACGAACGCUAGCGGCGUGCUUAACACAUGCAAGUCGAACGGAAAGGCCCCUUUGGGGGUACUCGAGUGGCGAACGGGUGAGUAACACGUGAGUAACCUGCCCUUGACUUCGGGAUAACUUCAGGAAACUGGGGCUAAUACCGGAUAGGAAUCCUUGCUGCAUGGUGGGGGUUGGAAAGCUUCGGCGGUUUUGGAUGGACUCGCGGCUUAUCAGCUUGUUGGUGGGGUAGUGGCUUACCAAGGCUUUGACGGGUAGCCGGCCUGAGAGGGCGACCGGCCACAUUGGGACUGAGAUACGGCCCAGACUCCUACGGGAGGCAGCAGUGGGGAAUAUUGCACAAUGGGCGGAAGCCUGAUGCAGCAACGCCGCGUGCGGGAUGACGGCCUUCGGGUUGUAAACCGCUUUCAGCAGGGGCGAAGCUUGUGGUGACGGUACCUGCAGAAGAAGCACCGGCUAACUACGUG